GGUUUCGUGGUGUAACGGUAGCACGGCAGAUUCUGAUGUCCAAUUUGAUUGGCUGAUCUUCUGCAAACCGGGGUUCGAUUCCCCGCGAGACCU
Molecule: non-coding RNA, 93 nt
Organism: Talaromyces proteolyticus
Lineage: Eukaryota; Fungi; Ascomycota; Eurotiomycetes; Eurotiales; Trichocomaceae
Source: the annotation of a RefSeq genome assembly